RNAcentral lists this non-coding RNA (203 nucleotides) under Bacillota bacterium. RNAcentral describes it as "Firmicutes bacterium (sediment metagenome) 6S RNA". It matches the Rfam family "6S / SsrS RNA". From Rfam's summary of the family: E. coli 6S RNA was the first non coding RNA to be sequenced, but its function was unknown until recently. Lineage: Bacteria; Bacillati; Bacillota. The record is from RNAcentral.
GGAUCCCUGCCGUACGCGAGCGCGCCAGUAGUUCCGAGCCAACACUGCAUAAACGGGAGCCCGGACGCUGGACGCGGAUGACAGCCCCGGGGACCGGGCGACGGGCACGGUUCUCGCAGGGAGUGUCAGAAACGGCCGGGAGGGCACCCACCUGUCGAGGACAGGUUCGGGAACUCCGGCGCCUUCGGUACGGCGGGGAUUUG